GGGCUUGACAUCCCACGAACCUCGCCGAAAGACGGGGGUGCCCGCAAGGGAGCGCGGAGACAGGUGGUGCAUGGCUGUCGUCAGCUCGUGUCGUGAGAUGUUGGGUUAAGUCCCGCAACGAGCGCAACCCUCACCCCUUGUUGCCAUCAGGUCAGGCUGGGCACUCUAGGGGAACUGCCCCGGUCAACGGGGAGGAAGGCGGGGAUGACGUCAAGUCAUCAUGCCCCUUACGUCCUGGGCUACACACGUGCUACAAUGGCCGGUACAAAGGGAUGCAAGACCGCGAGGUGGAGCUAAACCCAAAAAGCCGGUCUAAGUUCAGAUUGGAGUCUGCAACUCGACUCCAUGAAGGAGGAAUCGCUAGUAAUCGCGCAUCAGCACGGCGCGGUGAAUACGUUCCCGGGCCUUGUACACACCGCCCGUCACACCACGAAAGCCAGCUGUACUCGAAGUCGCUGAGAAUCG
RNAcentral lists this ribosomal RNA (465 nucleotides) under uncultured Methylomirabilota bacterium. Its description in RNAcentral is "bacterial SSU rRNA". It matches the Rfam family "Bacterial small subunit ribosomal RNA", at positions 977 to 1441 of the family's 1533-position model. The record is from RNAcentral. Lineage: Bacteria; Methylomirabilota (SeqCode).